Molecule: ribosomal RNA, 253 nt
Filed under: uncultured bacterium
Lineage: Bacteria
Description: partial 16S ribosomal RNA
Rfam family: Bacterial small subunit ribosomal RNA
Source: RNAcentral
GACAGAGGGGGCAAGCGUUGCUCGGAAUCACUGGGCGUAAAGGGCGCGUAGGCGGGUCCGCAAGUCGAUCGUGAAAUCCUUCGGCUCAACUGAAGGGGGUCGGUCGAUACUGCGGGUCUUGAGGGAUGCAGAGGAGACUGGAAUUCCCGGUGUAGAGGUGAAAUUCGUAGAUAUUCGGAGGAACACCAGUGGCGAAGGCGGCUCACUGGUCCGGUACUGACGCUGAGGUGCGAAAGCGUGGGGAGCAAACGGG